AUGUUUCAUCUCUAGGUUGCUUUUACAUUGUAUACCUGUAUGCACAUCCUUGAUUAGAUCCAUAUGUGUAUUGACAUCAUCAUGUUCCUUUGGCAGUGAACGUGGAAACUGAGAAGAAAGUAUGUGUCAGCAAUUCAGUCAACUAAAACGUGAAGUACGUAUGGGGAUUCAACAUGAUGUAACUCAGCAAUAAGGAGUACCAGAUAGAAAUAAAGAAGAACACCGUGCAAUUUGUGAUGCAUAGCUGUGUAACUGAUAAUGUUUAAAAUCAGAAGCCGUUAUUUUGUGUUCCAGACUCAAGCUGAGAUAGGGGAAGCCAAGUGGCUAUGUACGGCUUCCAUCGGCUGUUUACUAAUUAGCAGUUUUUAACAAAGAUAUGGUGGUGAUUGGCUGGGUUCGAGCUUUGAUUCUAGGGUACUGAAUGCAGCCAAUUAAAAUUAAAUCAAAACCAUGUAGCAGAUCUGAUAAUGGCUAGUGUAUUCUUUGACAGAAUUUCUUCUACUUUAUGCUUAACCUGGUACUGAUCCCAGCAGAAACUUUUGUAUGUCUAAGCCUAGCCACAGCUACACAUGACUGUGUAUUAUACUACACAACAACUUGAAUUCAGAUAUGAGUAUAUGACAUGAACGUAGACUUGUAUGGUAUGGAGUGCCAGAAGAGCUUGAAUUUGGCUGAUUCUUUAGGCCAAGUUUCCAAAAGGGUUCUUUUUACCUGUUAUAGAAUUUUAUCCCAUUUUAAGCUUUGAAGAGAGAUUUAAUUGCUAAAUUUUCAUGAUGCAAAGUGAAAAAUACUCCGAAUCACCAUCAUCUGUGCAAGUCAUUUGGGAUAACAUCAUCAGUGGUUAGUAAGAAAUUUGUAUCUUAGUGGGGGAGAAUAUUAUAGCUUUGAUUAUUUCUUUUGGUCUAAAUAUGCAAAUAUGAAAUUAUCGAUUACUUUUGCUG
Long non-coding RNA from Quercus robur (English oak), 941 nucleotides. RefSeq lists it as uncharacterized. NCBI's taxonomy places the organism in Eukaryota, Viridiplantae, Streptophyta, Magnoliopsida, Fagales, Fagaceae. The transcript has 3 exons. The record is from RefSeq and is a predicted model, not a curated record.